GUAGGGUGCGAGCGUUAAUCGGAAUUACUGGGCGUAAAGUGUGCGCAGGCGGCCCCGCAAGUCGAGUGUGAAAUCCCCGAGCUUAACUUGGGAAUGGCGCUCGAAACUACGGGGCUCGAGUGUGGCAGAGGGAGGUGGAAUUCCACGUGUAGCGGUGAAAUGCGUAGAGAUGUGGAGGAACACCAAUGGCGAAGGCAGCCUCCUGGGUCAACACUGACGCUCAUGCACGAAAGCGUGGGGAGCAAACAGGAUUAGAUACCCUGGUAGUCCACGCCCUAAACGAUGAUGACUAGUUGUUGGAGGAGUUAAAUCCUUUAGUAACGCAGCUAACGCGAGAAGUCAUCCGCCUGGGGAGUACGGUCGCAAGAUUA
This 371-nucleotide ribosomal RNA is filed under the name uncultured bacterium. RNAcentral's name for it is "bacterial SSU rRNA". It matches the Rfam family "Bacterial small subunit ribosomal RNA", at positions 527 to 896 of the family's 1533-position model. The record is from RNAcentral.